UUAGAAUUAUUUUUAACUUCUGAUUUUUGGGAUGAGGGUUGACCAAUGUCUCAUGGUCAACCUGAUCUUUUAUUGGAAUUUUAUUUCCCAUUUUUAAUUUAUUCUUGAUUUAUUUCUAACCUAGUCUUGUUGUUGCACUUUUGGUUUGACCUUUGUUUUGAUUCAAUUAAUUCAAUAACUAAUUUUCAUUAUUUUUAGAAUCUUUCUGGGGGAUGAUGAUGUCCUGAC
RNAcentral lists this long non-coding RNA (228 nucleotides) under Lathyrus oleraceus (garden pea). RNAcentral describes it as "Pisum sativum (pea) long non-coding RNA (PSAT_LNC015718)". Lineage: Eukaryota; Viridiplantae; Streptophyta; Magnoliopsida; Fabales; Fabaceae. The record is from RNAcentral.